Acanthopagrus latus (yellowfin seabream) is the source of this 758-nucleotide long non-coding RNA. RefSeq lists it as uncharacterized. NCBI's taxonomy places the organism in Eukaryota, Metazoa, Chordata, Actinopteri, Spariformes, Sparidae. The record is from RefSeq and is a predicted model, not a curated record. The transcript is spliced from 2 exons.
CGAAGCGCCAGAAAAGACGGCAGAAAAGUAAACAGCUACAGCUAAGCUAAGUAAUAAAAGAGUAAACAGAUAAAACAUGAAGAAAGAAGACAACGAGAAGGAUAAAUAAGGAAGAUUAGUCCCUCAUAAGAGAAAAGCAGCUUACGAGAGGAGCAAGAGAAUGUUUCCUGAUUGGAAACAUAACAAACUGGCAUGAUUCAUGUCAGUCCAGGACAGGAAGGCUCUAUGGCAGGUGAUUAAAAGCUCCAGAACAUCACUGGAGCCCAAAGAUACUAAAAUACAAUACCCAUCCAGCCACAGUCCAUUCACCCUGCUGCCAUCUGACUACAGAUACAGGAGUGUCUGGUGCUGUAGUACCAGUACCAGACUACAGAGCUGCUUCAUUUUUCAGAGUGUGAGACUCCUCAACUCAUCCUCAACACUCCCUAAAAAUGUAUAUUUUCUUGUGUAACAUAAAGGGACAAUGUGCAUUUUAUUGUAAAAACCCUGUUUUGUAGAAUGAAAAAUAAAUAAACCUUUGACGGACAGGUAUCAACUUACUAACUGGCGAUGUUUGACAAAGAAAGUCUCAAAAGUUUAAUAGUCAUUUAUUGAUGGCAGUGUAAUACUAAACCAACUAACUGUGUAUCAACAACAUUGUGUGUGAUAUUGCAUUACGAAAGAAACCCAUGUUCUAUGUUGUCCAGUAGCCAUCAGGAUACAACCGUGUUUUGUUAUUUUCUGAGUAUAUGACAAAUAGCAUUCAUUCAUGGAUCGUG